This is a small nuclear RNA of Propithecus coquereli (Coquerel's sifaka), 134 nucleotides long. Its record names the gene U4. It matches the Rfam family "U4 spliceosomal RNA". From Rfam's summary of the family: U4 small nuclear RNA (U4 snRNA) is a component of the major U2-dependent spliceosome. NCBI's taxonomy places the organism in Eukaryota, Metazoa, Chordata, Mammalia, Primates, Indriidae. The record is from Ensembl.
AGCUCUGAGCAAUGGCAUAGCCAGUGAGGUUUAUCCAAGACUUGAUUAUUGCUAAUUGAAAACUUCUCCCAAUACCCCACUGUGACAACUUGCAAGAUAGACAGCAUUGGCAAUUUUUAACAGUCUAUAUAAAC